RNAcentral lists this ribosomal RNA (251 nucleotides) under uncultured prokaryote. RNAcentral's name for it is "partial 16S rRNA". The stretch from base 49 to 227 matches the Rfam family "Bacterial small subunit ribosomal RNA", at positions 570 to 751 of the family's 1533-position model. The record is from RNAcentral.
AUUAGAUACCCUUGUAGUCCGGCUGACUGACUCUUACACCAAGUAUCUCGUAUGCCGUCUUCUGCUUGAAAAAAAAACCCGGGCUUAACCUGGGAACUGCAUUUGAAACUGGGUAACUCGAGUUUAGUAGAGGAGAGUGGAAUUUCAGGUGUAGCGGUGAAAUGCGUAGAGAUCUGAAGGAACAUUUGUUGCGAGGGCCGCCGUCUAGAUUAAACCUUACUCUGAUGUUUGUGAGCGAGCCUCACCGAUAA